GGGAUAAAAUUGCCCUUAAGCAACAAAAUUUGCCAGUAUUGAAUAUAUACGCCUAUUACCUCAUACGUGUCUGUUACAAUGAAACACCAACUUUGGGCGCAUAAAACAAGCAUAAUCAAAAUAUCAUUGACCCAAUACUGUGACCAGAUCUCUGCCAUUUUUCAUUGUAUACUAUAAGUUCUCUUUCAUUAAAGAGAACAGAUUUGAUACCUGACCCGUUCAGAGCAAUUGCAGUUAUAGCACCUCUUUAAACUAUCUCUUGAUAUCUAGAGGAAGCAAUUCGAUCCAGCUCUUCUUCUCACCCCACACAAUGAAAAGACAAAAUUCUCAGUUUGCAUUACAUUAGCCGUCAAGUCGUCUUAAAUAUAACUCACAUUCCCCGCAGGUUUACAUUAGGGAUUAAGUGUCUUCAUUCGCAAUAACUCUGGAAAUAAAUUAAAUGAAAGGAGGCACAGCCUUUGGCUCUUUUUUUGGUUCUUCAUUUCAAACUCUAAUUUUUAGAUAGCACUUUUGUUUUAUCCAUCUGGCACUUGGCCACAGCAGUGGCGCCUAAGGAUAUUUGAGGAUAAAAUGUAAAAUGUUUUUAUAAAACAUCUUCCCUUUCCCUUCCCCCUUCUAUUACUUUUACAUAGAGGUGAUCAUUUUUCUCAGCAAUUUCCGAAUUUUGAGGCAGAUGAAUUGUUGCAUGUGAACUUGAUUGCUUUGCAGCUCAACUUAGAAUUCCCAAUUUUCCAUAGGAGGUCCAUCACAUACUCUGUGAUGAGCCAUCUAGUUCAUAAUGACUGGUCUGACAGCGGUGCAUGCAAAACUUGAUGAAAGAUUCUCGCAAUGCAGAAUCUUCUCCUACCACCUUUGGAAAACACUUCUAAAGCACCAUGUGACUCACUGUUAUGAAAAUAUCUCUGAUCUACAUCUUAAUGCUGUCACUGCUGGAAUUCCAUGCCAAAUUACCCGUGGUGUUUGCAAGCUCUUCUACAUCCGUAAUAUCUGAAAUAGAUUAAUUUGGUUUCUCCUCUGCAUGCAAGACAUAAAUGCUCGUUUCUAAGCACGGGGGGCUGAAGAUCUGGUUAAAAUGUUCUGAUUUUUUCUAUAUUAAAGAAGAAUGAACAAAACAUGGUAAAAACAUUCCAUUUAUUUUUAGGUUAGAUUGUGGUCUAGGUUCUCCUUUUGAAGCGAUUUUGCCUAGCAGAUCAGCGUGUGCUGCUUCCGAACUUUAUCAGUAGUUGACCAAAAAGGAAAGGAAGGCACGCUGAAGCAUGGAAAUGUUUCCUUCCAUGCUGCCUAACUAGAGCAGACAGCAUAUUUUUAUGUAUACAUGUGAUAUUUUUCCCUUAUAUUCUUGAGACUUCUCAAAAAAUUGAGAAGACUAAGGACUACUUCCAAAUUUUUCACUCCCAAAAAGUUGGCUUUGACAUGUCUUCCCUCCAGCACCCCCCUUCCCCUCAGCUUUCCUUUGAUUGGUGUGUUUUAUUCAAUUACCACUGUUUUGCUUCACAUUAUGACUAAGUAGGCUUUUAAUAUUAACACCUGAGCACAAAAAAUCAGAAUUAAGAAACUGUCCCACUGGAUUUAAAGCUUUAUGCCAGAUGGUUCAAAUAGUCAGGGAUAUCUCAGCCAUAGAAAUAAGGUGCUCGGUGUUUGGCACUGCCAGUUUCAACAAGCUUAGGCUCUUAUGGAAUGUGAGUCAUACAGAAAGGAGUGAAGCAGCUAAAAAAAACCCAACAAAAAAUAAAAGAAAUAGUAAAUACUUUGUUGUGAUUUAGCAGCCUACUUGGAAACAGAAAACAGAAUACUGUUUAGGUUUAUGGCAGAUGAAGAGAGCAAGUUUCUUGUUCUUGAAUACAUGUAUAUAUAAAGUUCUGGUUUAACCUAGCGAGGCCAUAAGUAGCCUUGACUGUGGAAAAGUGUAUUUAUAUGAUAUAUCCUCCUGGCCUUUUAAAAUUGAAACUGUGUUACUUCUGCUGGAAGGUUUUUCCUUAUCUAUCCUGCAACUUGUCCUUUUCCUUUCACUAUUUCAGGUGCAGGCAAAACCCAGCGAUGUCUCACCGCCAGGAAAAAUUUGCACAAGUAGGAUGGGAAAUGGCCGCGGAUUCCUGUUCCUUUUCCACAUUUGCAGCAGUCAUCAGUGAACAUACCUUGGAGUUUCCGCUUGGCAAUGCACCCAUAUGGAGAUAAAUGACUUCAAAUGCACCUUUAAGCAAUUGUGGAAAUUUCUAAGCUAAGAACUUAUUCAUAUGAAAUUGCGAUAAAGCUCCGAACAUGAACUGAAAUUUGAAAACUGGAGCUUUUGGCUGCCUUUCAAGUGUCCGGUAAUGUGUUUCACAGAUUGAUUGAAUGGAUGAAUUCAGAGAUUCAGUCCUGAAGGCAGAGAUACAUGGCUCUUCACACAGCUGUAGGCGUUCCUUUUUCUGCCUGUGGUUUGCUACCUACUUCACGAUGCCCACUGUAUAAAUGAGACGAGGCGGGAGGAUGAGCCUCUUUCAAAGCACCGUCUGUUUGAAUUAACAAAGGUAAGAUUCUGUUAAUUUACAAAUGUUCUGCCACAAGUAUGCAACUGAGUUUCCACCCAUUGAGCUUCACUGGCUAAAAAGCUUUAGUUUGUUGUACUCCCUUUAAUUCAAAUCAAUGGAAGUCUGGGGGAAAGAAACAGCCAAGUAAACAAGGAAGUGGUUUAUGUUUGGGCUUAUCUUUUCAUUUUCUGGCAGAUGGGUUUGUUUUCUUUUAACAGCCACCUUUGGAAGUCAGUAUGGUAUUUUGUCAUUUCUUUGUAAAAAAAGAAAAAAAAAGUAACAGCUCCGAAUCUUUAUCAUAUUGAUUGUUUAACGAGUUUUCAUCUGGGGUCCAAGAUCAUACACAGCAUUGUUAUUGCAUUAUUAUUUUUCAUUUGUAGCGUAUUGAUUUGCUGCCAGUAGCUUACAGGGCAAUUUACAAAAAGAUGGGGUAUGAUUUAUUUUUUACUAAAAGAGUCUGCCACGAUGGGAAUGCUUCCAUAAGCCCGUCAGACCUCUACGUUUGUGUUUUCUUCUCUCAGGAGUGCAACACAUCCGUAGAUUAGUGACACAGUUCCACCUGGAUUUCCCCCAGAGUAUCCAUGACGUACAUAUAAUUCAUACAAAUAAGUGGCUACACGUAAGCCUACACUUAAAUUAGAAUUUUACUCCUGAGGAAUAGUUGUUUUCUUCUAUCUCCGUGUAUAACUCAGGAAAAACACACAAAGUCAGUAUAGAUAUACUGCUAUAAAAGAGAUGGGAGGGGAGACUUCACAUGUGUGACCACAGCAAGCUACCAGGGUUUAACAUCUCCAAAGGCCAGGUACUAAAAAUACUCAUGGAAAAUGAUGCUUAGCGCUGGCCAGGCCGAUGGUGGCACUGACAGAGUGUCCUUUCUGCACGCUCAGUACCUCACCCUAUCCCACGGAGCUGCAACACCUUUCCCAAGUGAUUGUGGGGGACCACUGUUCAGCCCAGUUGAGAGCCCACGGGCAUUACAGCUCUUUGAGCUUGACCUGCCUUUGGAGCAGGGCUGGAGCGUUGCUACCACAUUUGCUGUUAGAAGGCCCAUAGUUGAAAGAAAAUAGGAAAUCUUAACCAAGUUUUCCCUUAUUAUUUUUAUUUGAUUUACCAUCCUUAAAACUUUGCUAUCGGGAGAGUAGCAAGAGCUACUGGGCAAGAAUGAAGCAAGAGUUUCUAAGUUUCAGUACAGAGACAUUUGGACUUCCAUAACAAAAAUCAGAUAAUUCUUUUAGAACGUGAGAUGGUUGAAAAUUAUCAAUUAGUAGAAGGCCUGAUUGAACUUAUUGCCGAUUACCACCUGUAGUCUAUUGUCAAGUUCAAGGUCAAGGUCAAGGUCAUGGUCAAGGUCAAGUUCAAGUUCAUUGCCAAGUUCAAGGUCAAUACAAUCACAAAUUUAUUGUAAACAUAUACUUCUAUAAUACAUUUAAAUAUUGUGUUUCAAGGUCAAUGACUAUUUUUAAAAAAAUAGGUUUAGAGCCACUAUACAGUGAUGUGGGAGGAACCUGCGGCCUAUUAAGGUCAUGGUCAAGUUCAAGUUCAUGGUCAAGUUCAAGUUCAUUGCCA
Molecule: long non-coding RNA, 4076 nt
Organism: Cuculus canorus (common cuckoo)
Lineage: Eukaryota; Metazoa; Chordata; Aves; Cuculiformes; Cuculidae
Exons: 4
Source: RefSeq, a predicted model, not a curated record